RNAcentral lists this ribosomal RNA (73 nucleotides) under Trichophyton mentagrophytes. RNAcentral's name for it is "partial 28S ribosomal RNA". Lineage: Eukaryota; Fungi; Ascomycota; Eurotiomycetes; Onygenales; Arthrodermataceae. The record is from RNAcentral.
UUGACCUCGGAUCAGGUAGGGAUACCCGCUGAACUUAAGCAUAUCAAUAAGCGGAGGAAGGAUCAUUAGCGCG